UAGAAGCGAGCGUGAGAGCGUAAGCAAAACACAAAAAAGGAGUCCCAGUUCGGAUUGUAGUCUGCAACUCGACUACAUGAAGCUGGAAUCGCUAGUAAUCGCGGAUCAGAAUGCCGCGGUGAAUACGUUCCCGGGUCUUGUACACACCGCCCGUCACACCAUGGGAGUUGGGAAUGCCCGAAGCCGGUGACCUAACCGAGAGGGAGGAGCCGUCGAAGGCAGGUCUGAUGACUGGGGUGAAGUCGUAACAAGGUAUC
This 257-nucleotide ribosomal RNA is filed under the name uncultured bacterium. RNAcentral describes it as "partial 16S ribosomal RNA". It matches the Rfam family "Bacterial small subunit ribosomal RNA", at positions 1244 to 1500 of the family's 1533-position model. The record is from RNAcentral.